GACGAACGCUGGCGGCGUGCUUAACACAUGCAAGUCGAACGGUGAAGCGCCUUCCUUUUUGGUGGGUGUGGAUGAGUGGCGAACGGGUGAGUAACACGUGAGUAACCUGCCCCCUUCUUCUGGAUAACCGCAUGAAAGUGUGGCUAAUACGGGAUAUUCUGGGUCUGUCGCAUGAUGGGUCUGGGAAAGAUAUUGUUUCGGUGGGGGAUGGGCUCGCGGCCUAUCAGCUUGUUGGUGGGGUGAUGGCCUACCAAGGCGGUGACGGGUAGCCGGCCUGAGAGGGUGGACGGUCACACUGGGACUGAGACACGGCCCAGACUCCUACGGGAGGCAGCGGUGGGGAAUAUUGCACAAUGGGCGCAAGCCUGAUGCAGCGACGCCGCGGGAGGGAUGGAGGCCUUCGGGUUGUGAACCUCUUUCGCCAGUGAAGCAGGCCUGCCUCGUUUGUGGGUGGGUUGACGGUAGCUGGAUAAGAAGCGCCGGCUAACUACGUG
This 494-nucleotide ribosomal RNA is filed under the name uncultured bacterium. RNAcentral describes it as "partial 16S ribosomal RNA". It matches the Rfam family "Bacterial small subunit ribosomal RNA", at positions 28 to 507 of the family's 1533-position model. The record is from RNAcentral.